This 791-nucleotide ribosomal RNA is filed under the name uncultured bacterium. RNAcentral describes it as "bacterial SSU rRNA". It matches the Rfam family "Bacterial small subunit ribosomal RNA", at positions 8 to 796 of the family's 1533-position model. The record is from RNAcentral.
AGAGUUUGAUCCUGGCUCAGGNNGAACGCUGGCGGCAUGCCUUACACAUGCAAGUCGGACGGCAGCGCGGGAGCAAUCCUGGCGGCGAGUGGCGAACGGGUGAGUAAUACAUCGGAACAUGUCCAGUAGUGGGGGAUAGCCCGGCGAAAGCCGGAUUAAUACCGCAUACGAUCUACGGAUGAAAGCGGGGGAUCUUCGGACCUCGCGCUAUUGGGGUGGCCGAUGGCGGAUUAGCUAGUUGGUGGGGUAAAGGCCUACCAAGGCGACGAUCCGUAGCUGGUCUGAGAGGACGACCAGCCACACUGGGACUGAGACACGGCCCAGACUCCUACGGGAGGCAGCAGUGGGGAAUUUUGGACAAUGGGGGCAACCCUGAUCCAGCAAUGCCGCGUGUGUGAAGAAGGCCUUCGGGUUGUAAAGCACUUUUGUCCGGAAAGAAAUCCUUUUCGAUAAUACCGAGAGGGGAUGACGGUACCGGAAGAAUAAGCACCGGCUAACUACGUGCCAGCAGCCGCGGUAAUACGUAGGGUGCAAGCGUUAAUCGGAAUUACUGGGCGUAAAGCGUGCGCAGGCGGUGAUGCAAGACCGAUGUGAAAUCCCCGGGCUUAACCUGGGAACUGCAUUGGUGACUGCAUCGCUAGAGUAUGGCAGAGGGGGGUAGAAUUCCACGUAGCAGUGAAAUGCGUAGAGAUGUGGAGGAAUACCGAUGGCGAAGGCAGCCCCCUGGGUCAAUACUGACGCUCAUGCACGAAAGCGUGGGGAGCAAACAGGAUUAGAUACCCCGGUAGUCC